This 2837-nucleotide long non-coding RNA is filed under the name Columba livia (rock pigeon). RNAcentral's name for it is "partial uncharacterized LOC102092662, transcript variant X1". The record is from RNAcentral. Lineage: Eukaryota; Metazoa; Chordata; Aves; Columbiformes; Columbidae.
GGCCAGCCCGGGGAGGAAGAUGGAGGAGCCGCGGCCGGGCGGGCACCGCGGCCGUGCCAGGAGCGCGGCGGAGGGGCUGCUCUUGAUGGGUGGAAAACACCGCUUCUCGCUCUCCUCACGGCAUGGAAAAUACCGAAACACGCUUUAGGAGAAAAAAAUAACACAGCAACAACCCCCAAACAGCUGAGGAUUGAUGUAUCUUCAGGGAAGAAGCCGUCGCCGCUCGCCUGGCUCCUCACGACAACCUGCCCGCCAUUUGCUUAAUUAAAAGCAUAUACUUGAUGUGAUCAGAUGUGGUAAUACCGUAAAAAAAAAAACCCAAACCAAACCAAAAUACCCCGUAACAUCCAAACGCUCGUUGUUGGAGGCUGCAGCCAAGCUCGGCUGCUUAUUCCAGAAGUUUCUACAGGGGAGGGAGCACCCACUGCGGAGCCUUUGCCGCAGCGCCGGGAGGAGAUGCCGAGGAUGCGCCACCUCUCCCCUUCCCAAGCCUCCCCCCUUCGCUCGAUUUUCCCCAUCCUUGGGAAAAAAACGCUGCUGGGAGGUGUGUUAAGGGUGUUUUUUAUUAAAAAAUCUUCCUCCUUCCCCCUCCCCGCUUUGCUAAAUGAAUUAAAAGCAGCGCUGUCUCCCGAUGGAGAUGGAUGAGGCUGCUCGCUCGCACGCUCCCCUGCAGCCUCCGGCUGCCCCAGCGAGGGGACCGCGGCCACAAGUGACCUUCCCCAGGUGCCCCGACACGCUGCUGCUUCUUGGGAUUCAUUUUAAAUAGGCUUAUUAUUUUUUAUCUCCCCCCUCCCCUUAAAGAACAGUUCGCUCUUUCAGUGAUUCUUUUUUCUUGACGCUUCUUCAUGAUCCUUUUUUUUUGUGUGUGUGUUUUGAAUUGCAUCUUAAAACUGCCCAGCUGGAGACAGGUCUCGAUUAGAGCUGGAACAAUAGUUCCAUUUUAUUAAUAACGGGAAGGAUUUACAAUCCUCCAGCACCUUCCUUGGAAGGCUUUCAGGAAUCAUUUGCAAACACGCACACAUUUAAGAUCCCGCAGCCAAGGGCUGGGAGGUGGGUAAGUAUGUGAAUGGUGCCACCGCCAAAAAUCGCGUCGGUGGCCAAUCUGCCUUUCCGAGUGCUGAAAAAAAGACAGAUUGGGUGGGUUCUAGGGCUGUGACCUCAAUCUGUCCCGUGUUCUCUGUAGAUGCCGAUUGUUCUGCUGCAUCCUGAGAACUGGGCUGUACAGAGGACCGCGCCGCCUUGCCGGAGCGGAGCUGUGGACUCGCUUGCUGCUCAGUAAACAUCUGCUUAUAGAUCUUUAUUUCUUUGAUUAUCUUUUUCUAAUUCAUUACCUUUUUGCAGUCCCCAAGCGACCUCCUUUAGUGCUGGCUCCGCUGUGGUUUGACCGCAGCUUCGCGUUAAAGCGCUAAUGUGUCUAAUGACCUUGCUUGGGGACCGGGCCCACCGGGCUGCUGCGGAUGCUCCGUUUCCAUUACAGAACCCCACACGCCGUGUAUUCCCAUUUUUCCAACGCAUCCUUCCCUCGCCUGGGAAUGUUGCAAUAUUAUAGUGUCUUCUGCCUUAUUUUUUGUCCUUUUUCCCCCCCUCUUUCCUAGGGAUACACAGGAUUGUGUAACCCACGGCAGAUGUAACCAUCUCAGAGCUGUCUGGGCAGUCGGAUCUGGCCUUGCUGAGACACGGGUUGUGUAAGUGGCGUGUUGUACGCAGGCCACAAAACCCCACAACAUUUCAGUGGUUACGUCUGUCUGGGAGAGCGUGAGUAGGUCCCAGGGCUUCCCCUUCCCACCGCUUUGCCGGUUCACAAAACGAGAGGCUGAUGCUUCUGGAAAAAGCUCUGCCUUGUGGCCUUUAAAAAAAAAAAACCUGCUGUGGAUUAGUCAUCCUUGUUUUUAAAGGAAGCUGCGUUUGCCAGCCCUGGCCGUGUAACGCGUGUGUGUUAUCAGCCAUUGGGUUUAUUUGCUGGUAAGGUGCUGGGCUCUCUGGGGCGGCGCCACCGCGGCUCCUUCGAGCUGUUCCCGGCGGGUGGAAGAGCCACCACGGUCCAGCUUUUCAUGCCCUUCCCUCCGUUCUCUUGUUUUUCAGCGCUGGAAAUGUGGAGAACGCACCAAACGCACGUGGGGACAGACAAACGUAUUCUGGGGUCACUUCAACUCUGGAGGAGAAGCCCUGGGAUGUGUUGGUUUGGAGAUGCUCCUUGUGCUCACCGGAGGUACCAAGAAGCUGCUUGUUGGGGAUGUUUCCACGUUUUUGAGGUUGGCAACACCCCGUGGGACUCGGAAUUAACUUUUCUUUGGUAGUCGAGGACAAACGAGUGAGAAUCACCUUGGGAGCGCUGAACUUUUACCCCCCUCUCCUUCGGACUGAAGAGCUUCUAGAACUACAUCGGUGAGGCUUCCAAGUUAAACAAAACCUGAAUUCCCGCUGCCAAAAAGCAAGCGAGCGAUAGAAACCUCCACAUCUCCUCCGUGAGGGGGGACACCGCGGUCUCCCGAGAUUAUUCUGGUAUCCCCAAGAGUUAAAAAUGCUGCAUCGUGAGACCUGCGGAGGUCAAACGAAAGCCAGAGCUCACCGAGAAACUCUUCUCCGUAUCGCUCAAGGGGUUUUUGAGCAUAGCAGGUCUCCACGCACCAUUAUUUUUGUGUCUUUGUCAGGACCAAAGGAGCGAUAAUAGUGUGUUCAGUCUGCUUUGUUUAAAACACCGUCGAGUUGCUUUGCUAUCAAAAUGGUGUCUGGUGAAAGAAAAGCUCUGGUGGUGGCUGGCUCGGUGGUUAUUUUGUGCCAACCGAUCCCUCGUGGCUUUGGGCUGUGGGUUCGUGUUAAACCCUUGUCCUCCAGCG